AAUAGAUACCCAGGUAGUCCACGCCGUAAACGAUGUCGACUUGGAGGUUGUUCCCUUGAGGAGUGGCUUCCGGAGCUAACGCGUUAAGUCGACCGCCUGGGGAGUACGGCCGCAAGGUUAAAACUCAAAUGAAUUGACGGGGGCCCGCACAAGCGGUGGAGCAUGUGGUCUAAUUCGAUGCAACGCGAAGAACCUUACCUACUCUUGACAUCCAGAGAACUUUCCAGAGAUGGAUUGGUGCCUUCGGGAACUCUGAGACAGGUGCUGCAUGGCUGUCGUCAGCUCGUGUUGUGAAAUGUUGGGUUAAGUCCCGCAACGAGCGCAACCCUUAUCCUUUGUUGCCAGCGGUUCGGCCGGGAACUCAAAGGAGACUGCCAGUGAUAAACUGGAGGAAGGUGGGGAUGACGUCAAGUCAUCAUGGCCCUUACGAGUAGGGCUACACACGUGCUACAAUGGCGUAUACAAAAGAGAAGCGACCUCGCGAGAGCAAGCGGACCUCAUAAAGUACGUCGUAGUCCGGAUUGGAGU
RNAcentral lists this ribosomal RNA (528 nucleotides) under uncultured bacterium. Its description in RNAcentral is "bacterial SSU rRNA". It matches the Rfam family "Bacterial small subunit ribosomal RNA", at positions 777 to 1304 of the family's 1533-position model. The record is from RNAcentral.